Molecule: small RNA, 2189 nt
Filed under: Pan troglodytes (chimpanzee)
Lineage: Eukaryota; Metazoa; Chordata; Mammalia; Primates; Hominidae
Description: retained intron
Source: RNAcentral
GGUUCCAAACAGCCGUGGCCCGCGGUGUCUGGCGUUCGGUGGGUGUGGUUGCCCCUAGUUUGAGGCCUGCCCGAUUACCCGCAAGACUUGGGCAGCCCCGGGCGCCGCUCCGACCACGACAGGGAAAGGUAAAGCGAACUGUGCUCCUUGGGGCUAGCCAGGCUCCCCUGCGAGGAGGAAGGUAAUGGUUUCAAGCUGCCCGGGCUGGGUUCCGAAUCUCUAGGACGCCAUGGCUGCGAUCUCCUCGCUUUCCUGGACGUCUUACCUCCGGAUGUACUCCAGUCUCAGUGCCCCUCAAUAAACGUUAACCUGCUUUGCCAAAAUGUAAAUGUUUAAAAAGGUGAAGAAGCAAGGAAUUGUUCGUUUUACCUUAAGGUUAAGAUUUACUUUAAAGGUAGAUUUGUGCUGUAGCAGAAACUGGUGACAAAUUGCCUUCCUCUUAUUACCUGGGAAGAUAACUACUGGUUUUCAACUUGUGAUAAAUACUCCUUCCGUUGUCUUUUGCCCCCAGCCAGAUCUGUUUCACCGAGAAGGGGUAGUUUGCACAAGGUAGUAACUUUCUCCAAGUUCCCAUCUAGCUUUCUUAACCAACCUUUUUUCUCUCCUUUGGGCGGCAGUUGAUCUGCUGGACACUUACUUGCCUUAACAAGGUUUGUUAAACACCUAGUAUAUGCCAGGAGGUAUGCCAGGGAUUGGGGAUGCAGAAAUAAAGAAGAUGUGUUCGCAGUGCCCAAGUUCACUCAAACCUCGAGGGGGAGCGUGUUGUCAAGUGAACAGAUAGUUCUAGAAUCUAGACAAUGCGACACAUUCUUGGGUAGGUUUAUGGUUGCACAGAGGAGACUAAUGGAAUGGAUGACCUAAAAGUGGACUGGGAUGGGGGUGGCAGGGCUGAGUCUGUGAGGUUGGGUGGGAGGGAACCUAGUCCCAGAGUCUUCUGCAGCCUGGACCAGACUACUUAAGCACUGCUGGGUUUAGACUGUCCUUUAAAAUAAGAGCCGCCAGAAGUGAACUUCUCAUUCUGUCCGUCCCUAAUUCUGUCCUUCUCUAAAAGGAACCUUAAUCUCAUCUUUAAAAUAAGGAGAAUUACUGAGUGACCUGAAGGACCCUUUUCAGCUGGAAAGUCUGAACUGACCAACACUGGAUGAAUUUGACCAUUUCUUAGGAGACUGGAAUGUUAAGUUUCUAUAAAUGAAUGAACCAGUUCUCUCUUGUUUGGAGCAAUGCUGAAAUUCCAAGAGGCAGCUAAGUGUGUGAGUGGAUCAACAGCCAUUUCCACUUAUCCAAAGACCUUGAUUGCAAGAAGAUACGUGCUUCAACAAAAACUUGGCAGUGGAAGUUUUGGAACUGUCUAUCUGGUUUCAGACAAGAAAGCCAAACGAGGAGAGGAAUUAAAGGUACUUAAGGAAAUAUCUGUUGGAGAACUAAAUCCAAAUGAAACUGUACAGGCCAAUUUGGAAGCCCAACUCCUCUCCAAGCUGGACCACCCAGCCAUUGUCAAGUUCCAUGCAAGUUUUGUGGAGCAAGAUAAUUUCUGCAUUAUCACGGAGUACUGUGAGGGCCGAGAUCUGGACGAUAAAAUUCAGGAAUAUAAACAAGCUGGAAAAAUCUUUCCAGAAAAUCAAAUAAUAGAAUGGUUUAUCCAGCUGCUGCUGGGAGUUGACUACAUGCAUGAGAGGAGGAUACUUCAUCGAGACUUAAAGUCAAAGAAUGUAUUUCUGAAAAAUAAUCUACUUAAAAUUGGAGAUUUUGGAGUUUCUCGACUUCUAAUGGGAUCCUGUGACCUGGCCACAACUUUAACUGGAACUCCCCAUUAUAUGAGUCCUGAGGCUCUGAAACACCAAGGCUAUGACACAAAGUCGGACAUCUGGUGAGUGGGCUAGUGGGCUAGACUCUUCAUCUGCUUCCCUAAAAGAAUGGUACAUUUUGUCUUUCAGCUCAUUUACUUACUGCAUACAUUCACUUUAUCCCUUUGACAUGAAUAUUUCUGUGACCAGAGUAAAAGAAGGUCUUUUGCAUUUAGAACUCGAUAUAUUUCAUUAAACUAGUUUCAAAAAUUCUUUUUAUUCAUUGAUAAUUGGUUGGUUUUGGAUUUUUGGUUCCUGAAUCACAAGGGAAAGUUCUUAAUGUACCAUAAGCAUUAAAUUUUAAUACAUUUCUGUUAACCUAUUAAAUAAAGUAUUUGUAACCCU